RNAcentral lists this ribosomal RNA (1553 nucleotides) under Escherichia coli. RNAcentral describes it as "bacterial SSU rRNA". It matches the Rfam family "Bacterial small subunit ribosomal RNA". Lineage: Bacteria; Pseudomonadati; Pseudomonadota; Gammaproteobacteria; Enterobacterales; Enterobacteriaceae. The record is from RNAcentral.
AAAUUGAAGAGUUUGAUCAUGGCUCAGAUUGAACGCUGGCGGCAGGCCUAACACAUGCAAGUCGAACGGUAACAGGAAACAGCUUGCUGUUUGCUGACGAGUGGCGGACGGGUGAGUAAUGUCUGGGAAACUGCCUGAUGGAGGGGGAUAACUACUGGAAACGGUAGCUAAUACCGCAUAACGUCGCAAGACCAAAGAGGGGGACCUUCGGGCCUCUUGCCAUCGGAUGUGCCCAGAUGGGAUUAGCUAGUAGGUGGGGUAAAGGCUCACCUAGGCGACGAUCCCUAGCUGGUCUGAGAGGAUGACCAGCCACACUGGAACUGAGACACGGUCCAGACUCCUACGGGAGGCAGCAGUGGGGAAUAUUGCACAAUGGGCGCAAGCCUGAUGCAGCCAUGCCGCGUGUAUGAAGAAGGCCUUCGGGUUGUAAAGUACUUUCAGCGGGGAGGAAGGGAGUAAAGUUAAUACCUUUGCUCAUUGACGUUACCCGCAGAAGAAGCACCGGCUAACUCCGUGCCAGCAGCCGCGGUAAUACGGAGGGUGCAAGCGUUAAUCGGAAUUACUGGGCGUAAAGCGCACGCAGGCGGUUUGUUAAGUCAGAUGUGAAAUCCCCGGGCUCAACCUGGGAACUGCAUCUGAUACUGGCAAGCUUGAGUCUCGUAGAGGGGGGUAGAAUUCCAGGUGUAGCGGUGAAAUGCGUAGAGAUCUGGAGGAAUACCGGUGGCGAAGGCGGCCCCCUGGACGAAGACUGACGCUCAGGUGCGAAAGCGUGGGGAGCAAACAGGAUUAGAUACCCUGGUAGUCCACGCCGUAAACGAUGUCGACUUGGAGGUUGUGCCCUUGAGGCGUGGCUUCCGGAGCUAACGCGUUAAGUCGACCGCCUGGGGAGUACGGCCGCAAGGUUAAAACUCAAAUGAAUUGACGGGGGCCCGCACAAGCGGUGGAGCAUGUGGUUUAAUUCGAUGCAACGCGAAGAACCUUACCUGGUCUUGACAUCCACGGAAGUUUUCAGAGAUGAGAAUGUGCCUUCGGGAACCGUGAGACAGGUGCUGCAUGGCUGUCGUCAGCUCGUGUUGUGAAAUGUUGGGUUAAGUCCCGCAACGAGCGCAACCCUUAUCCUUUGUUGCCAGCGGUCCGGCCGGGAACUCAAAGGAGACUGCCAGUGAUAAACUGGAGGAAGGUGGGGAUGACGUCAAGUCAUCAUGGCCCUUACGACCAGGGCUACACACGUGCUACAAUGGCGCAUACAAAGAGAAGCGAUCUCGCGAGAGCAAGCGGACCUCAUAAAGUGCGUCGUAGUCCGGAUUGGAGUCUGCAACUCGACUCCAUGAAGUCGGAAUCGCUAGUAAUCGUGGAUCAGAAUGCCACGGUGAAUACGUUCCCGGGCCUUGUACACACCGCCCGUCACACCAUGGGAGUGGGUUGCAAAAGAAGUAGGUAGCUUAACCUUCGGGAGGGCGCUUACCACUUUGUGAUUCAUGACUGGGGUGAAGUCGUAACAAGGUAACCGUAGGGGAACCUGCGGUUGGAUCACCUCCUUACCUUAAAGAAGC